GAUGAACGCUAGCGGCAGGCCUAACACAUGCAAGUCGAGGGGCAGCACAGAAACAGCAAUGUUUUGGUGGCGACCGGCGGACGGGUGCGUAACGCGUAUGCAACCUACCUUUAACAGGGGGAUAACGGAGAGAAAUUUCCACUAAUACCCCAUAACAUCGAUCAAGGCAUCUUGAUUGGUUGAAAACUCCGGUGGUUAAAGAUGGGCAUGCGUUGUGUUAGGUAGUUGGUGAGGUAAUGGCUCACCAAGCCUACGAUACAUAGGGGGACUGAGAGGUUAGCACCCCACACUGGGACUGAGACACGGACCAGACUCCUACGGGAGGCAGCAGUGAGGAAUAUUGGUCAAUGGGGGCGACCCUGAACCAGCCAUGCCGCGUGCAGGAAGACGGCUCUAUGAGUUGUAAACUGCUUUUAAACAGGGAUAAAGCACAGUAUGUAUACUGUGUUGAAGGUACUGUAAGAAUAAGGAUCGGCUAACUCCGUGCCAGCCGCCGCGGUAA
This 502-nucleotide ribosomal RNA is filed under the name uncultured bacterium. RNAcentral describes it as "partial 16S ribosomal RNA". It matches the Rfam family "Bacterial small subunit ribosomal RNA", at positions 28 to 523 of the family's 1533-position model. The record is from RNAcentral.